RNAcentral lists this ribosomal RNA (347 nucleotides) under uncultured eukaryote. RNAcentral's name for it is "SSU rRNA". It matches the Rfam family "Eukaryotic small subunit ribosomal RNA", at positions 594 to 945 of the family's 1831-position model. The record is from RNAcentral.
AUAGCGUAUAUUAAAGUUGUUGCAGUUAAAAAGCUCGUAGUUGAACUUCAGACCUGGCUGGGCGGUCCGCUUAACGGCGUGUACUGUCUGGCUGGGCCUUACCUCUUGGUGAGCCGGCGUGCCCUUUAUUGGUGUGUGUCGGGGAACCAGGACUUUUACCUUGAGAAAAUUAGAGUGUUCAAAGCAGGCAAUUGCCCGAAUACAUUAGCAUGGAAUAAUAAAAUAGGACGUGCGGUUCUAUUUUGUUGGUUUCUAGAGUCGCCGUAAUGAUUAAUAGGGAUAGUUGGGGGCAUUGGUAUUGAGUCGCUAGAGGUGAAAUUCUUGGAUUGACUCAAGACCGACUAUUG